RNAcentral lists this ribosomal RNA (460 nucleotides) under uncultured bacterium. RNAcentral's name for it is "partial 16S ribosomal RNA". It matches the Rfam family "Bacterial small subunit ribosomal RNA", at positions 338 to 795 of the family's 1533-position model. The record is from RNAcentral.
CCUACGGGAGGCAGCAGUGAGGAAUAUUGGUCAAUGGACGAGAGUCUGAACCAGCCAAGUAGCGUGAAGGAUGACUGCCCUAUGGGUUGUAAACUUCUUUUAUAUGGGAAUAAAAUGUUCCACGUGUGGGAUUUUGUAUGUACCAUAUGAAUAAGGAUCGGCUAACUCCGUGCCAGCAGCCGCGGUAAUACGGAGGAUCCGAGCGUUAUCCGGAUUUAUUGGGUUUAAAGGGAGCGUAGGUGGAUUGUUAAGUCAGUUGUGAAAGUUUGCGGCUCAACCGUAAAAUUGCAGUUGAAACUGGCAGUCUUGAGUACAGUAGAGGUGGGCGGAAGUCGUGGUGUAGCGGUGAAAUGCUUAGAUAUCACGAAGAACUCCGAUUGCGAAGGCAGUUCACUGGACUGCAACUGACACUGAGGCUCGAAAGUGCGGGUAUCAAACAGGAUUAGAUACCCUUGUAGUC